Glossina fuscipes is the source of this 914-nucleotide long non-coding RNA. RefSeq lists it as uncharacterized. NCBI's taxonomy places the organism in Eukaryota, Metazoa, Arthropoda, Insecta, Diptera, Glossinidae. The transcript is spliced from 2 exons. The record is from RefSeq and is a predicted model, not a curated record.
GCAUUUAUUUAAAUUAAUGCUCUUCUUUUUUCCCAUCAAAUUCAAUAUUUAUUUAUUAAUUUUUAUUGAAAUUGGACGGACGCGUUUGUGUUGCGCGAGUGCACAGUGAGAAAGUAAAUUUCAAAAAAAAAUAAAAAUAAAAAUAUAACUCUGUUAUCUCUAACUUACCUCUAGUUGUGAUUAAAAUUUACAUGUCUAGCAAAACAACAAAAAGAAAAAUUCGUUUUUUUAAUGAAAUUGAUUUUAAAGAGAUAUACUAAUCAUAAUGAUGAUGAUGAUGAUGAUGACAACCGUUGAUACGCGUGAUAAGUUUGUAAACACUUUAAUUUUGUGUGUUAUUUAAUGAUUUUAUGACGCAUUUCCUGCAAAAUUUUAUGCAAAUUCUUAAUUUAAAUGAGGGCAACAUUUUAUUGGAUUAUGAUGUAAAAAUUGAAAACAUUUUUUUGCUUCUUUUCUGCAUUCAACAUACAACAAACAUCGUCUCACAGUGAAUAAUAAUGAAUAAAAGACUGUCACUGGUUGUUUGUGAAAAACAAUUACUGUAAACAUUAAAAUAAAUCCUAUAUAUGUGUGUAUUACAAGUUUUUUAAGAAGCCCUCUCUUAUUAUCUAAAAUGCAUUAGACUUGUAAAGUUUUUUAAGAAAAUUUAAAAAAUAUAAAAUAUAUUUUAAGCAUUUUGGUCUAAUAAAAUUUCAUUAAAUUCAAGUGUUUUUUUUGCUUUGAUAAUACAUACAAAGAAAGUUAAGCGGAGUUUCAAACGUCACCACCAAAAGAUUUUUCAAAUUUGGUAAAUAAAGAAAUAAGGAGAAUAUCAAGGAUUAUGUGAAUCAUGUUAAGAACAAAAAACAUUUUUCCAUUAUAAGGGCUGAAACCGUUAUUAUGUAAAGUUCUUUAAAAAAAAAAAAAAAAAAAAA